This 6619-nucleotide long non-coding RNA is filed under the name Gossypium barbadense (sea-island cotton). RNAcentral describes it as "long non-coding RNA (GBAR_LNC020362)". Lineage: Eukaryota; Viridiplantae; Streptophyta; Magnoliopsida; Malvales; Malvaceae. The record is from RNAcentral.
AAGGAGUCAUUGCUGAUGAGUCACAGUCAACAUCAGCUACUCAGUCUAUUAUGGCUGAAACAGAGACGACCAAGUUUGUAUUUCCCAAACUAAUAAACCUCGGAUUGGAUAAGGUGCCGAGAUUGAAAAGUUUCUACUCUAGGAUGCAUACCACCCAGUGGCCUUCAUUGAAACAAAUGGACAUUAUUGAAUGUCCCAAAGUACAGAUAUUAACUCCACAAUGUCCUGAGUGUCAGGUUGGAAUCUCAAACCAACAACCCUUGUUUUGCGUCAACGAGGUGAGCUCACUAAUAGUUUCAUACUCCAUGUUCAUUACUUGAGAUUACCUAUAAAAUGCCUUUUGAAAUAACUAAUAUUCUCACCUUCCUUUUAAAUUUAUGAGAAAUAAAAUGGAAAUGAUAUCCAUUCUGUAGUCUAGUUCUUACCAAUUCAAAACUCUUUGAUCAAUGUUUAAUAUAUUCGUUGCCAUCCAGGACACUUUCCCUAUAUUAGAAGAACUGACACUAAAGACGAAUGAUAUGGUGAAGGGGAUAUGUGAUGGACAGCUCUCAUUGCAGUGUUUCCAAAACCUUAAACUUCUUAACCUCCAAUUGUUUCCUGAGGCAUCCACUACUCUUCCAUAUUCAUUCAUUCGGUCACUACCAAUGCUUCAUAAGCUUGUUAUAGACAAUGCUUCCAUUUGUCAAAUAGUACAAUCUGAAGGACUCAGCUACGACGAAAGGAAUACAUCAGUGUUCUAUCAGCUAAAGGAAUUAAGUUUGUGUCAACUUCCAGAGUUGACGUUAAAGACUUUUGAACCAUCUUUGCUGUCUUUCAAAAAUCUAACAACACUGGAAGUUUCAAGCUGCCAUGGGUUCAUCAAUUUAAUCGCAUGCUCAACAGCUAAGUGCCUGACGCUACUGGAAAGAUUGAGCAUAGAUGAUUGUGGGAUGAUUGAGGAAAUCAUAGCGUGUGAGGCUGAAGAAAUGCAAGGCGGCAUUGUAUUUCCCAAACUGCAGUAUUUGCAACUAAGCUGUCUGCCAUGUCUAGCAAGCUUUUCCUUGGCCCAUCACUUGUUGGAAUUCCCAGUCUUGCUAAUGGUGAAGGUGACAAAGUGCUCCAAAAUGAGGAAUUUCUGCCAAGGAGAUUUAAGCACACCAAGGCUGGAACAAAUGCACUUAACAAGAGAUGAGGAAGGUGAACUGCAGUGGGAAGGCGACCUUAACACUACCAUAAAACAUAUGUUCGAUGAAAUGGUACAAAUCAUUUAAAGGAUUUAAAUUCAUGUGUUUUUACAUACAUACAUAGUUAACUGAAUAAUUCUUGGUUUGUUAUGAUCAUGCACAGAAUGUGCAAAAUUUGGAGGUGACGGAGGUUACUGAUCAGUUGCCCAAGCUGGAAUAAGGAAAUAUGUUUGGGUGCUUAUGCGAAAAGCUCAGUUUCGUUUCAAAUAAAAACAAAUGGUAAUUGACUUCUAUUUCAUUAUGGCUUAACUAAUGCUUUAUAAAGUGACCAUAGAGACGCCCUUUCUAUUGUAGGUUGAGUUGCUCUACUGAAGCACAUGGCUGCAUCUGUUGGUAGAACGUGAAAGGUUAUUUCAGUUUUUGUAAAACUACAAUUUGAACUGUUCCAUUUCACAACAUAACCUCAAUAUUGAAUUUCAAGUGCAUCAUGCAUGACAUUGGGAACUACAAACAUGCAAACUUUUACUAGUAAGGUUGACCCCUGUUUUAAUAUUCGAAUUCUUCUUAAAGGUGGAUGGAUUUGCCAACUUUUGAUGGUUACCAUAUCAAUAUCAGCUUGGGGUUUAGACGAUGUGAUUAAGAUUGCUAUACAUACUGUGUUUGUGCUUGUGUCAUCUUUCUUGUUCUCUCUAUAAAGAUUAUUACGUACUUAUUUCUAUGCAAUCUCACAAUUUUCUGAUGAAAAAAGUUAAAGCUAAUAACUCCAUUCCCAAGUUUCCCAUAUUCAUCCUCACAAAAACAUAAAUGAUAAAAACCCCAUUUCUCUUUUAGUCAAUAGGAGAAACAAUCUAAAGUUAGAAUAAAACAAACCAAUGCCAUGUUUAUAUUGAAUUAAAUCGCAUGCAUACAUGUAUCAAUUGUUCUGUAGUGAACAGCAGUCACGUUAUAUUCAACUAUGGCAUCUCCAUCUUAUUAAACCAAGCUACAAUGUGAUUAUUCAAGUGCUAUCCAUGUGAUUAUUCUUAUAUUUAAAUAUAAUAAGUUCAUUUAAUAAUUUUUAUAAUAAAUAUAAUAAUUCAAUCAAUAUCAAUUAAGCGAAUUUUUAAUCAAUCAAUUGAAUUUAAUCUGAUUAUAAAAAGUCAAUAAUCCAAACUUAUUCAAUUCGGAUUCAAAUGAACUUGAAAGGGAUUUAUUGGAAAAUUCAAUCUUCAAACUCAAGUGAUUUGAAUUUUGUUAGGGAUUGACCCGGUUAAGCAACGAACAAGUAAAAAUAAGGAAAGAAAUUAAGAAAUUGAACACACAAAUUUAACAUGUUAAAACCCCUCCAAAGAGGAUAAAAAAUCACGAGUAAAGAUAAUUUUACUAUGAUGGCAAAAGAAUGAAGAGUAUAGAAGAUGAAGAUAAAAACUAAAUCCCAAAAACCAAAUUCAUAGGUCAAAUAAUAAUAAAAUAAUCUAGAUUAAUCAGAGUUUGAUUAAAAUAAAUAAAUACAAUCUAACUAUUGAUAACAAGUGCUAUCCAUGUGAUUAUUCUUAUAUUUAAAUAUAAUAAGUUCAUUUAAUAAUUUUUAUAAUAAAUAUAAUAAUUCAAUCAAUAUCAAUUAAGCGAAUUUUUAAUCAAUCAAUUGAAUUUAAUCUAAUUAUAAAAAGUCAACAAUCCAAACUUAUUCAAUUCGGAUUCAAAUGAACUUAAAAGGAAUUUAUUGGAAAAUUCAAUCUUCAAACUCAAGUGAUUUGAACUUUGUUAGGGAUUGACCCGGUUAAGCAAUGAACAAUUAAAAAUAGCAAAAGAAAUUAAGAAAUUGAACACACAAAUUUAACAUGUUAAAACUUCUCCAAAGAGGAUAAAAAAUUACAGGUAAAAAUAAUUUUACUAUGAUGGCAAAAGAAUGAAGAGUACAAAAGAUCAAUAUAAAAACUAAAUCCCAAAAAUCAUAUUGAUAGGUCAAAUAAUAAUAAAAUAAUCUAGAUUAAUAAGAAUUUGAUUAAAACAAAUAAACACAGUUUAACUAGAAUAUUAUUUCUCAAAUUUGACUGAAAUAGGAGUUAUACUCAACAAACUCAAACAUAAAAUUAUUACUUGGAUGUGAAUGAUUUGAAUUGAAAUGGUGUGAGGCCCCAUUAUGCUGUCAGCGAAAUCUAAAGAUUGGGGCCCCAAACCAUUCAAAUUCCAGGACUGUUGGAUGCAAGCUAAAGAGUUAGAUCGACUUAUUCAUGAUCGAUGGAAGGAAAUGGAGGUUCACGGCCAGGCAAAUCAGGCCUUGAGAAUGAAACUAAGUCCUUUAAAGUGUUCUCUGAAAAUGGAACAAAAAUUUCUUUUGGUAGUUUGGAUCAUAGAAUCCACUUGAUAGAAAAUGAAGUGGAGGAUGUUGAUAAAAGGGGCGAUAUUUCGGUCAUGACCGAGGAGGAUGUCAACCGUGGAAAAGAGACUACGGGUGAAUUAUGGAAACUUAAUCGUUCUCGAGAAAUCUUAUGGAGACAAAAAUCUAGAGUAAAGUGGAUUGGGGAAGGCGACCGUAAUGCAAGUUUCUUCCAGUGCAAAGCCAAAUUUAGAGCUAGGAGUAAUUGCAUUGAAGGUCUGUUUGCGAGCGGAUUUCUUGUCCGAACUUAGUCAAAAAUGCAAUUUGGGAAUACUUCCGAAAACAGUUCUGUGGCGUUCAUUGGGACAAACCUACUUUAAGGGGUUCGGAUUUUACGAUAUCUUUGCUUCUUCCCAAUGGUCUCAAAGCAUGUUUUGGUGUUUGAGUCUGAUUCAAUGGUUGCGUUGACAGGCCUGCCUCCUAUGUGGCUUGGCUGUUGUUUAUUGCACCUUUGUACUUCAAAAUAAUUUCAACUCUUUCAAUCCGAAUUAAAUUGAUUCGAACUUUAAAUAAUGAGUGAUAAACUUAAAAUUAUCUUAUUAGAAAAUUUAAACUUCAAAAUAAAUUGAGUGACUUAAACUUAAAUUUAACUUUAAUAUGAAACUGAUUUGAAUCCAAAUGAUUUUAAAAUUUCUAAUUUCGAAUUAAUCUAUCUAGAUCAAAAACCAACUCUAGUUAUAGCUUGACCCAUCACAAAAAUAUAAAAGAUAAUUUGAGAACAUAUGAGGCAACUUGUAGGUAUGGUGUAUAUGUAAUUGGAUAAUUACCCUCUCCCUAAAAAAUUAUGUCGCAGCGUACUCAAUUAUAUAUCUAGGGGUUUUUUUUCCCUUUUUGAUGUGGGAUUAAUGACUUUAAUCAUGUGUCCUUAAAUGACUCAGAGUUCGGAAUCACGAGUGAUAAAAGGCUCUGGUGUUUAACAAUCAACUAGACUCAACCAGAGCUCGGUAAUCAGCUGGACGAACAGAGUAAGCGAUAUCAAACAUUAAGCGCAUAAUUUCAGAUUCUUUGGACUCCAGCCGAGCUAAAGCUAACAUAAGCGAAAGCUAUCAUAUCAAACGGCUCGAUGCAUUUGCCGAAGUAUAAUUUGGAAAAUGUUUUGGACUGUUUUGAGGAGCUUGGGUGAUGUUGGCCAUUCAUAACAAAUAUAAAUUUCCCAUGGUUUAAGUGCAUUUGUCCUUUUGUUUCUAUAGCAUGCGAUCUAGGGAGAGGUCGUGUUGAUACAUUGAAUCAAUGGAUGUGAAGAUGGAAGGGAAUGAAUUCUAAGAAAACACACCAAAGUUAUUGAUUUGAUGAAAAAAUAAAAAAAAUGUUGUAUAAUUAUAUUAAAAAUAACCCGACUCGAAAUCUGACCUAGGAUCCGACCCUAUAUAAUAGAAUUCUACAAACAUCCCAUAAAAAAAGAAGAAUCUUCUUCUUUAUGGCUAGACAAGAAUUCUCUCUUCUCCAUCUCCACAUCCGUUGAUCUAAUGAAUCAACAAUCAGCAGUAUUUUAGACUGUAUAUUUGAUUUAUAAUGUAUUAAUUAGUUCAAAUGAUUAAUAUAAUUUGAAAGCAUAUUUUUAAAUCUAAAAAGUAGAAUGGCUAAAUUCUUGAAAAUAAAAAUAGAGUAACUAAGUUUUAAAGGUACGAAAUAAGACCUUCAAGUAUAUUUUAACCUUCAAUUUUUUACUUUAUAAUUUGAUACAAAUAAAUAACCAAUCCAAUGUGAAACAUAAAUGGAUUAUACUAAUUAUUGUAAUAAUUAAAUUUUUUUUAAUGUCGUUUGUGAAAUUAAAUAACAACGUUAAAAGGCUAAUCCUUUUCACAACAUGCCUAUAUCCUCAUUUAAUAAAUGAUUUUAAUUUUGGGUAAACUACAAAAAUAGUCACAUUUGUUUGUCUCAGAUUACAUUUUAGUCACUUAUGUUUGAAAUGUUACGUUUUAGUCACUUACGUUAUCGUUUUGUUACAAAGUGAUCACUCUAUUGUUAAGCUCCGUUACCUCCCUAACGGCGGUCCUACGUGGCAGUCCAAAUGAGUUUUAAUUGUCAACUUGGAUGUCCUAUGUGACAGUCCAAAUUGAAUUUUAUUUAAGUAAAAACCUAUUUUCAUCCCAACAACUAGACAUCCAAGUUGGCAUUUAAAACCCAUUUGGACUGCCACGUAGGACUUCUAUUAGGGAGGUAACGGAUUUUAACAGUAGUGUGACCGCUUCGUAACAAAACGAUAACAUAAGUGACUAAAAUGUAACAUUUUAAACAUAAGUGACUAAAAUGUAAUUUGAGGUAAACAAAAGUGACUAUUUUUGUGGUUUACCCUUUAAUUUUUAUAUAAUUCUUCAUUCAACUUAAUGUAGUUCAAAGUUGAUUAUAGAGGUGAAACUAGGAAUUUUUUUUUUGGAUCAGGGUUAAAUUGUACGAUAGUAAAAAUAUAAUUUUAUCAUUUUAAUAGUCUAUAUUUUUAUAAUUUUUAAAGGAUUAACCAAAAUUUUAUUAUUUGGGGGUUAAAAUAUAAUUUACUAUUAUUAGUUUAAAAAAUUUUAAAGGAUUAACCAAUGUUUGACAGAUUUAGAACUAACAAAUUGUCCAUUGCUAAAAACAUUCAUCACUAAAUGUGUAUCCGAAGAUGAACCUGAAAUUGGCCAACAUGUACAAGCGAGUAACUUGGAGGUUCAUAACUCAUCUCUCCUCAAUGAAAAGGUCAUUUCUUUAAGGGUUCUCCUUUUAAUUUAUGUUGCUUCGAUUGAUCUUAUUCAUUUGAAGUUCUUUCUUUUCCAUGCAUAUUUCAGUUAUUAACCUAAUGAAAUGAUUUAGCAAGUUGUUUUCCCUAGUUUGGAGAAGUUGUGGAUUCAGAAUUGUGAUUCGUUAGAACAAAUUAUUGAGCUGCAAGGAGUCAUUGCUGAUGAGUCACAGUCAACAUCAGCUGCUCAAUCGAUUAUGGCUGAAACAGAGACGACCAAGUUUGUAUUUCCCAAACUAAUAAACCUUGGAUUGGAUAAGGUGCCGAGAUUGAAAAGUUUCUACUCUAGGAUGCAUACCACCCAGUGGCCUUCAUUGAAACAAAUGGACAUUAUUGAAUGCCCCAAAGUACAGAUAUUUACUCCACAAUGUCUUGAGUGUC